Molecule: transfer RNA, 39 nt
Filed under: Callosciurus caniceps concolor
Lineage: Eukaryota; Metazoa; Chordata; Mammalia; Rodentia; Sciuridae
Description: partial tRNA-Leu
Source: RNAcentral
AAAACUUUACUACCAGAGGUUCAACUCCUCUUCUUAACA